This 71-nucleotide transfer RNA is filed under the name Impatiens morsei. RNAcentral's name for it is "tRNA-Gly". It matches the Rfam family "tRNA". From Rfam's summary of the family: Transfer RNA (tRNA) molecules are approximately 80 nucleotides in length. Their secondary structure includes four short double-helical elements and three loops (D, anti-codon, and T loops). Further hydrogen bonds mediate the characteristic L-shaped molecular structure. tRNAs have two regions of fundamental functional importance: the anti-codon, which is responsible for specific mRNA codon recognition, and the 3' end, to which the tRNAs corresponding amino acid is attached (by aminoacyl-tRNA synthetases). tRNAs cope with the degeneracy of the genetic code in two manners: having more than one tRNA (with a specific anti-codon) for a particular amino acid; and 'wobble' base-pairing, i.e. permitting non-standard base-pairing at the 3rd anti-codon position. Lineage: Eukaryota; Viridiplantae; Streptophyta; Magnoliopsida; Ericales; Balsaminaceae. The record is from RNAcentral.
GCGGAUAUGGUCAAAUGGUAAAAUUUCUCUUUGCCAAGGAGAAGACGUGGGUUCGAUUCCCGCUAUCCGCC